AGUGGCGGACGGGUGAGUAACGCGUGAGAAUCUGCCUUGGGGUCGGGGACAACCACUGGAAACGGUGGCUAAUACCGGAUAAGCCGAUUGGUGAAAGAUUUAUUGCCCGAAGAGGAGCUCGCGUCUGAUUAGCUAGUUGGUGAGGUAAGAGCUCACCAAGGCAGCGAUCAGUAGCUGGUCUGAGAGGACGAUCAGCCACACUGACUGAGACACGGCCCAGACUCCUACGGGAGGCAGCAGUGGGGAAUUUUCCGCAAUGGGCGAAAGCCUGACGGAGCAAGACCGCGUGAGGGAGGAAGGCUCUUGGGUUGUAAACCUCUUUUCUCAGGGAAGAAGCUCUGACGGUACCUGAGGAAUCAGCCUCGGCUAACUCCGUGCCAGCAGCCGCGGUAAUACGGAGGAGGCAAGCGUUAUCCGGAAUUAUUGGGCGUAAAGCGUCCGCAGGUGGCGAUUCAAGUCUGCUGUCAAAGCACGGGGCUUAACUCCGUAAAGGCAGUGGAAACUGAAUAGCUAGAGUGCCGUAGGGGUAGAGGGAAUUCCCGGUGUAGCGGUGAAAUGCGUAGAGAUCGGGAAGAACAUCGGUGGCGAAAGCGCUCUACUGGACGGCAACUGACACUCAGGGACGAAAGCUAGGGGAGCGAAUGGGAUUAGAUACCCC
This 658-nucleotide ribosomal RNA is filed under the name uncultured bacterium. Its description in RNAcentral is "bacterial SSU rRNA". It matches the Rfam family "Bacterial small subunit ribosomal RNA", at positions 94 to 788 of the family's 1533-position model. The record is from RNAcentral.